This 214-nucleotide ribosomal RNA is filed under the name uncultured Actinomycetales bacterium. Its description in RNAcentral is "partial 16S ribosomal RNA". It matches the Rfam family "Bacterial small subunit ribosomal RNA", at positions 116 to 334 of the family's 1533-position model. The record is from RNAcentral. Lineage: Bacteria; Bacillati; Actinomycetota; Actinomycetes; Actinomycetales.
CGUGGUGAUCUGCCCUGCACUCUGGGAUAAGCCUGGGAAACUGGGUCUAAUACCGGAUAGGACCAUGCUUUAGUGUGUGUGGUGGAAAGUUUUUUCGGUGUAGGAUGAGCCCGCGGCCUAUCAGCUUGUUGGUGGGGUAAUGGCCUACCAAGGCGGCGACGGGUAGCCGGACUGAGAGGUUGGUCGGCCACAUUGGGACUGAGAUACGGCCCAG